This is a small nucleolar RNA of Molossus molossus (Pallas's mastiff bat), 133 nucleotides long. RefSeq annotates it as U8 small nucleolar RNA. The record is from RefSeq and is a predicted model, not a curated record. The transcript has a single exon. Lineage: Eukaryota; Metazoa; Chordata; Mammalia; Chiroptera; Molossidae.
UCUUCAGGCAGGAUAAGCCUUGCCUGCUCCUCAUUCUGGAGGGCAGAUUGGAACAUGAUGAUUGGGGGUCACAUGAUUAGUGAUUGAAUCUGCAUUAUCAGGAUUUACAACACCCUGAUUGCUCUUAUCAGAU